AUUGAACGCUGGCGGCAGGCUUAACACAUGCAAGUCGAACGAUGAUUAUCUAGCUUGCUAGAUAUGAUUAGUGGCGGACGGGUGAGUAACAUUUAGGAAUCUGCCUAGUAGUGGGGGAUAGCUCGGGGAAACUCGAAUUAAUACCGCAUACGACCUACGGGUGAAAGGGGGCGCAAGCUCUUGCUAUUAGAUGAGCCUAAAUCAGAUUAGCUAGUUGGUGGGGUAAAGGCCCACCAAGGCGACGAUCUGUAACUGGUCUGAGGGGAUGAUCAGUCACACCGGAACUGAGACACGGUCCGGACUCCUACGGGAGGCAGCAGUGGGGAAUAUUGGACAAUGGGGGCAACCCUGAUCCAGCCAUGCCGCGUGUGUGAAGAAGGCCUUUUGGUUGUAAAGCACUUUAAGCAGGGAGGAGAGGCUAAUGGUUAAUACCCAUUAGAUUAGACGUUACCUGCAGAAUAAGCACCGGCUAACUCUGUGCCAGCAGCCGCGGUAAUACAGAGGGUGCGAGCGUUAAUCGGAAUUACUGGGCGUAAAGCGAGUGUAGGUGGCUCAUUAAGUCACAUGUGAAAUCCCCGGGCUUAACCUGGGAACUGCAUGUGAUACUGGUGGUGCUAGAAUAUGUGAGAGGGAAGUAGAAUUCCAGGUGUAGCGGUGAAAUGCGUAGAGAUCUGGAGGAAUACCGAUGGCGAAGGCAGCUUCCUGGCAUAAUAUUGACACUGAGACUCGAAAGCGUGGGUAGCAAACAGGAUUAGAUACCCUGGUAGUCCACGCCGUAAACGAUGUCUACUAGCCGUUGGGGUCCUUGAGACUUUAGUGGCGCAGUUAACGCGAUAAGUAGACCGCCUGGGGAGUACGGCCGCAAGGUUAAAACUCAAAUGAAUUGACGGGGGCCCGCACAAGCGGUGGAGCAUGUGGUUUAAUUCGAUGCAACGCGAAGAACCUUACCUGGUCUUGACAUAGUGAGAAUCCUGCAGAGAUGCGGGAGUGCCUCCGGGAAUUCACAUACAGGUGCUGCAUGGCUGUCGUCAGCUCGUGUCGUGAGAUGUUGGGUUAAGUCCCGCAACGAGCGCAACCCUUUUCCUUAUUUGCCAGCGGGUUAAGCCGGGAACUUUAAGGAUACUGCCAGUGACAAACUGGAGGAAGGCGGGGACGACGUCAAGUCAUCAUGGCCCUUACGACCAGGGCUACACACGUGCUACAAUGGUAGGUACAGAGGGUUGCUACACAGCGAUGUGAUGCUAAUCUCAAAAAGCCUAUCGUAGUCCGGAUUGGAGUCUGCAACUCGACUCCAUGAAGUCGGAAUCGCUAGUAAUCGCAGAUCAGAAUGCUGCGGUGAAUACGUUCCCGGGCCU
This 1355-nucleotide ribosomal RNA is filed under the name uncultured bacterium. RNAcentral's name for it is "bacterial SSU rRNA". It matches the Rfam family "Bacterial small subunit ribosomal RNA", at positions 28 to 1381 of the family's 1533-position model. The record is from RNAcentral.